This is a long non-coding RNA of Ictalurus punctatus (channel catfish), 838 nucleotides long. NCBI's taxonomy places the organism in Eukaryota, Metazoa, Chordata, Actinopteri, Siluriformes, Ictaluridae. The record is from Ensembl.
GAAAUCUGGACAAUCUGAAAUCCUGGAAGCAAAAACACACAAGCAAAUACUUAAAUAAAUAAAUAAGGCACACACACACACACAAAAAAAAAAAAAAAAAAAAAAAUGCAUAAAUAAUUUUUUUUAAAACGUUGUUUUAGCACAGAUGGAACUGGAUUUCACACACUUUAAAAUGUAACUCACAUUAUUAAUAAUCAAUCAAUCAAACAAACAAACAAAAAAGGAAAUAAAUAAAUAGCCUACAUAGAUAAACAGAUUGAUAGAUUGAUUGAAAGACAGACAGACAGAUAGAUAGAUAGAUAGAUAGAUAGAUAGAUAGAUAGACAGACAGACAGUUAGAUAGAUAGAUAGACAGACAGACAGACAGAUAGAUAGACAGACAGACAGACAGACAGACAGAUAGAUAGAUAGAUAGAUAGAUAGAUAGAUAGAUAGAUAGAUAGGUAGACAGACAGACAGACAGACAGACAGACAGACAGACAGACAGAUAGAUAGACAGACAGACAGAUAGAUAGAUAGAUAGAUAGAUAGAUAGAUAGAUAGAUAGAUAGAUAGAUAGAUAGACAGACAGACAGACAGAUAGAUAGACAGACAGACAGACAGACAGAUAGAUAGACAGACAGACAGAUAGAUAGAUAGAUAGACAGACAGAUAGAUAGAUAGACAGACAGACAGACAGAUAGAUAGAUAGAUAGAUAGAUAGAUAGAUAAUAGAUAGAUUGAGAUCACUCAUUUUAUAGUCGCGUUGUCAUUUUUUAUCGCAGCGGCUGUUUGUGUUUCUGCAGCCUGCAAAUGUUCAUUUGUGAAGAGGAGAAAAGGAAAGCAAAAGUUCUAAAAG